Molecule: RNase MRP RNA, 369 nt
Filed under: Aspergillus rambellii
Lineage: Eukaryota; Fungi; Ascomycota; Eurotiomycetes; Eurotiales; Aspergillaceae
Description: RNase MRP
Rfam family: RNase MRP
About the family: RNase MRP is an enzymatically active ribonucleoprotein with two distinct roles in eukaryotes. In mitochondria it plays a direct role in the initiation of mitochondrial DNA replication.
Source: Rfam by way of RNAcentral
UCCUCGCUCAAAGAAUCGCAUUCAAAGCUCACACACAGAGGACCUACCCGUUCUCUCCUCUUCUACUACUGAGAGGUCGCUUUGGGAGAAAGUCCCCGGACACCCUGUCCAAAUUUCCUGGUCAGGCAAUGCGGAAACGCGCCGCCAUAGAAGCAGUUUGACAGCGGCUUACUGCCCUAUUCCCUCCCGGUUUCUUGACUGUACCCGACGCCUGGCGAUACCUGUCUGGUGGAAUCAAUGGUGGUAUGGCGGGCACCGGAGGGGGGUUUUUUAUUUGGGUUGCCUUUCGUCGUGUUUGCAUAGUCAUGCGAUUGCCUGGUUUCUUUACAGAGACUGGGUAACUCAAUGGGGCUCAUUCUUGAGGCGAGG